Molecule: long non-coding RNA, 957 nt
Organism: Arabidopsis thaliana (thale cress)
Lineage: Eukaryota; Viridiplantae; Streptophyta; Magnoliopsida; Brassicales; Brassicaceae
Product: other RNA
Exons: 1
Source: RefSeq
ACUCUCUUGUUGUUGCUGAAAGUAGUUUCUGCCUAAACCACUUUGACCGCUAUGAAGAAACCUAUCCAACGGUCCACCAUUACAAUCAAAACUUCCACCGUUUUGUGCAAUCUCUGGACUUUUCUCUUUAGGUGUGUUCAUCUCUUGACCGCUCGCUAUUAACCUAUCCAACGACCCAGCAUUACAUUCACGAUCUCGACCGUUGUGAGCAAUCUCUGAACUUUUCUCUUCAGGUAUAUACAUCUCUAGACCACUCUCACCCGGUUUGCUCUGUUUUUCACUCUCCUUCGUCUCCUCUUCUUCCUUCUUCUUCAUCUUCUCCUCCUCUUCCUUCUUCUUCUUUGUCAUCCUCUUCUUCACAGGUCUCUUUGCUGCUACCGCAGCAACUCCUCUCUUAUUAGGAGGCGGACGGGAAGCUACAUUUUCAUUGGGUGCUCCACACAAUUCAGUCUUCACCCAAUCCAUUAAACGCUCUCUAGAAGCCGUAAGCUCAUCAAGCAACGUCUCCAUAAACGUUCCAACACCGUCCGUCCCCAUAACUGUUUCAUCUUUCUUCUUAUUGUCCUCCACACAAACAGUUUUCGGUUUCCUUUUCCUUACUUGCUUAACUUUCUCAGGCUUAGUCUCAUCUUUCUUGCUCCUCCUCUUCCGGGUUUUCACAGGUUGUUCUCUAGUCACAGUUUUUGUUCCAUUAUCAAUCUGAUUCGACUCAAGAUUUGGGUUAUGAAUGAUAGGAUGCUGGGUCGAGUUUGAAUCUGGAUCAUCGCUUGAAGAAUCUUCAAAGUCGUUCUCUUUCCUUCUGAAAUCCCAUUUCUCACUGAAUCUUGGCUCAUCUCCCAUUCUUAAAGAUUCAGUCUAAUUUCACUCUGUUCUUACAGAUUGCACCUUUCUUUCAAAGAUUUUUCAUACAGCUGCAAGAAUAAAAAAACACAACAUGGAUAACUAUAAACAACACAA